Thalassophryne amazonica is the source of this 117-nucleotide long non-coding RNA. RefSeq lists it as uncharacterized. The record is from RefSeq and is a predicted model, not a curated record. The transcript is spliced from 3 exons. Lineage: Eukaryota; Metazoa; Chordata; Actinopteri; Batrachoidiformes; Batrachoididae.
UCUUCUAUGGUGUUCAGUGCACCAGUUUAAUCGGCUAACGUUAUCUUAGCUGAACAAUCAAUGGGUUCCAUGAUUUACCCAGAUUGACUGCAAAUGACUAAAUUAAGUAGUUUUAUU